UUGUCCAAUAAAUUUGUCUUUUUAGUUCAACUUCUCAAUUUAAUGGCAUGUAUUGUCCAAUAAAGUCAUUUUAAUUCAGCUUCUCAAUUUUUUUUACGUGAGUCUUGCAAUGUUCAUACACUUGACAAAUCUUGCUCUACUAAUUUUGUUAUUUUGUAUCUCUGAUUUCUUAACUUGAGAAAAUCAUUUUCCCGAAUCAUUUUAUAGUUGACUCUUGAUGGCAAUGCUAACAAUCAGAACCUUAUUCAAUUUCAGGAAGUUGAGUAUUCCUGUGGUGGUAUUCCUCUGCACUAAUUAGUUUGAUCUCCUCCAGCAAAUGAGUUUCUUGGACGUUGAAGCGACUACCUGCCUAGCCUGCGGUUAUUUUAUGCUUAUAAGCAAACAUUGAUAGAGUAAAGAUCUUGGCUAACUAUACUAUAUUUACCUGGGGAACUAGUUUUGUUUUAAUCUGGUCUGGUCUGUUGCUCGCUACUAUCAGUUCCACGAUUAAGAGAACGUAGGUAACAAAAGAUAUACUAGUAAUGCAGAUUUCGAGAUACUAAUGCAAGUAUGUUAUGUAAGGAAACGAUUUACAUUGGAACCGCAUCCCAUCUUAUGGUUCAAAUUUAUAUAUGAUAGAACUUGUUGAGUUAUUCCAAUCCAUUUAAAGGAAAUUUCUUGCA
Molecule: long non-coding RNA, 662 nt
Filed under: Panax ginseng (ginseng)
Lineage: Eukaryota; Viridiplantae; Streptophyta; Magnoliopsida; Apiales; Araliaceae
Description: long non-coding RNA (PGIN_LNC013983)
Source: RNAcentral